UUAGAAAGUACUGAAAAGAACUGGAAAUCUGGAUUUACUUCAUUUACUAAAAGGGUAGAUAGGUAAUUUGGACUCCAGAUGGCCCCCACCCCCACCUGUCCAUAUCUCCCACCCGACCCUCCUCAUUUACCCCGUCAGUUAGGUUUCCGGCCGCUGCCGACGCGCUCUGGCUUUGUCAAUUCCCUUUGUCCGGCUUGAGCAGGUUUCGCCGCUGCCGCCGGCACCUCUGUAGCUGUGGGUGGUGCGGUGCAUGGCCAAGAAGCGGAUGAUGGCGAAGCAGAUCCAACAGAUACAGAAGCUCGACGACAUGCUCAUCCGCGACACCGUCAUGCAGCGUGCCGUCCACCCCGAGGCCGCCCUCGGCGCCGACCUCUAUCUCUCCUCCGCACCACCAUCACCGACGCCGUGCUCUCGAACGAUCUCCAGCAGGUGUAUGUGUCUUGUUUGGGGAUGAGAUGGGGAAAAAGGUCGGCAUGGCUGGGCUCAAGGACAAGACUAAGUAUGUAUGUACCUAGAUACGCAAGUGGAUGAAGCUACGUUUCACGCAUGCGUACGGUUCAUGGAAGACGAGUCCAUGGAACGGGAAGCAGGAUUCUUACUAUACAAACUAAAGGUCCGCAAAGCUUUAUGUGUGGUCCGUGUCUAUCUGGUUGAGACAGUUGAACUCGCAUCAAACUUGUAAUAUGUGCCGUCUCUGGUGAAAGCAAUCGUAUCAUUUUAAUCAUGAUCAGUAAACUAUCAGUUAAGUGCAUGUCUCAUUUCCGUUUGUGUAAUUUAGACCGUAAAAUAUACAGUUACCAACAAGAUCUUGUUUCAGGAUAAUUUACACACCUCUAGUGGUAGAAGAUGUCGAGGUUAUUGCUGCGCUGGACAUUGCAAAUGCCUCCAUGAUGCAAUAUCAGGGAUGGAUAAGGCUGCAGAACAAGGAAGUGCCGUCAGGCAGGUAGAGCUCUCGGAUUGUUUGAUGAUAUGGGGAGAAGCAAAGCUAAGCCUGACAGUGUUACCCUCAUCUGGGUGUUGACUGCAUAUUGCCAUGGUGACUUGGUUGAUGGAGCGCGAGAAGUCAAUUGCGAGUGCUAGCUAGGUAGCCUAGUAUGGUUUGUUCUUUUCAUUGUCUUAGCUUCGAUGGAUUGGAAUAAUUUUAACUAGUUAGCGAUGCAAGUUAAUCCAUCAACAACCAUUACUGACUUGCAAGUUUACCAUCGUAAGAUACAUGUAUGGAAAUAUUGAUGUAAAUCAGCGGAGCACUACAUGUUCAAGGACGUUGUGUUGUCUACCAAAAGUUAAAAAUUCAGACUUCCCUUGA
This is a long non-coding RNA of Lolium perenne, 1306 nucleotides long. RefSeq lists it as uncharacterized. Lineage: Eukaryota; Viridiplantae; Streptophyta; Magnoliopsida; Poales; Poaceae. The record is from RefSeq and is a predicted model, not a curated record.